AAGCAAGGAACUGAAAAUGCCUAGAAGAGUCAUAAGACUCCAUAAACAUAAAGGUUUAGUCCUAACCUUCCUAUUGAUUAUUAACAGAAUUACACAUGCAAGUCUCCACAUACCAGUGAAAAUGCCCUCUAAAUC
Long non-coding RNA from Lutra lutra (Eurasian river otter), 135 nucleotides. RefSeq lists it as uncharacterized. The record is from RefSeq and is a predicted model, not a curated record. The transcript has 2 exons. NCBI's taxonomy places the organism in Eukaryota, Metazoa, Chordata, Mammalia, Carnivora, Mustelidae.